This 1209-nucleotide long non-coding RNA is filed under the name Apteryx haastii (Great spotted kiwi). Its description in RNAcentral is "lncRNA (ENSAHAG00000001773.1)". Lineage: Eukaryota; Metazoa; Chordata; Aves; Apterygiformes; Apterygidae. The record is from RNAcentral.
GGCGCUCUUUGGAUUUGGAGCGCGAUUCGGAAGCUUUUUUAGCCGGCCACGAAGGCGCCCGAGGUUCUUUGGGCGCUUUGCGUUCCCGCGAGCGUUUGCUUUUCUUCCGCGAUCCCGAACUGGAAGCCGAACGGGUUUGCGAAGGAGGCCGGAAACGCUCGCGCCGUUGCGUGAGGAUCUUGCGCCGCAAAUCGGCCCCUUUCCAGCGCGGGUCGGGCUGGCUGUCGCCGAAGUCCACCUGCAGCGCGGCCUCCUCGUCCGAAUCGGCGUGAAGCGAGAGGAAAUCGUCGCCCUCGGGCAACCGCAGCGCCCGCGGUUCGGCGGCCCGGCACCGGCUCCGGAAAAGCCGGAUGGGGCUGUAACGCUCGUCCUCGGGCUGCACGAUUUCGCCUUCCUCGAUCUCCGAGUCGCCUUCGGCGCCUCCCCAGUCGAGCGGCGCCCGGCGCCCGGCCCGGUGCCGCCCGCUCUUGGCGCCUUUCUCGCCCCGCGCCGGCGCUUUGGGGUUGCCCGCCGUCACCACCUCCAGCGACACUUUUCCUUCCAGCUUGGGAUUGGCCUCGGCUUCCGAGCGGCUCUUGGCUGCCAAGUCGACGACGAAAACGCGCCGCCGCGGCUCCGGCUCGGCUCCGUCCGACUGCUCCGAGGCGUUUUCCUCCUCCGGCAGCGUCGAGUCGGCUCCCGGCGGCUGCUCUUUGGGCUCGGAGGGUUCGGCGGGCGCUUUGUCGGGUCGCGGCGGCCGCGACGCCGGGCUGGAGSUGGGUUCCGCUUCCUCCGGGCCUUUUUCGGAGCCCGGGAAAUCCUGGCUGAGGCUGUUGUCGUCGUAGAUGCCGGCCAACGUCUCCGAGAUGCGGCUGAUGCUGUGCGACAUGUCGGGCCGGGCGGCGGCGGCGGCGGCCGCCUCGUCGUCCUCGUCGUCGUCAUCGUCCUCCUCGUCGUCGUCCUCCUCCUCCUCUUCCUCCUCGUCGUCGGGGCUGGGGCUGCUGCGGGACGAGCUGGGGUUGGAGCCGGUGGGGUCGAAGGGGUCGUACUUCUGGUCCUGCCGCCCUUCGGCCUCUUUGCGGGGCGAGGCGCCGUAGGCGAAGUCGCCGCCGGCGUUGUCCUCGUCCGUGGGGUGGAAAGGGUCAUAAAUAUCGAGGUCGGGCGAGCGGGGAAGGCAGGCGGCGGCGGCGGCGGCGGGCGGCGCGCCGGGCUGCGAGGAGGAGGAGGCCG